AUUGAACGCUGGCGGCAUGCUUUACACAUGCAAGUCGAACGGUAACGGGUUAAGCUGACGAGUGGCGAACGGGUGAGUAAUGCAUCGGAACGUGCCCGGUCGUGGGGGAUAACGCAGCGAAAGCUGCGCUAAUACCGCAUACGAUCUGAGGAUGAAAGCGGGGGACCGUAAGGCCUCGCGCGAUCGGAGCGGCCGAUGUCAGAUUAGGUAGUUGGUGGGGUAAAGGCUCACCAAGCCAACGAUCUGUAGCUGGUCUGAGAGGACGACCAGCCACACUGGGACUGAGACACGGCCCAGACUCCUACGGGAGGCAGCAGUGGGGAAUUUUGGACAAUGGGCGAAAGCCUGAUCCAGCAAUGCCGCGUGCAGGAAGAAGGCCUUCGGGUUGCAAACUGCUUUUGUACGGAGCGAAAAGGUCUCCUCUAAUUCAGGGGGCUCAUGACGGUACCGUAAGAAUAAGCACCGGCUAACUACGUGCCAGCCGCCGCAGUAA
RNAcentral lists this ribosomal RNA (493 nucleotides) under uncultured bacterium. RNAcentral's name for it is "partial 16S ribosomal RNA". It matches the Rfam family "Bacterial small subunit ribosomal RNA", at positions 29 to 523 of the family's 1533-position model. The record is from RNAcentral.